GGUUGUAUAGUGUAGCGGUUAUCACCUUGGAUUCUGAUUUUCCAGUAACCCCGGUUCGAUUCCGGGUACGACCU
This 74-nucleotide transfer RNA is filed under the name Yarrowia lipolytica CLIB122. RNAcentral describes it as "tRNA YALI0_A06391r". It matches the Rfam family "tRNA". Rfam says of the family: Transfer RNA (tRNA) molecules are approximately 80 nucleotides in length. Their secondary structure includes four short double-helical elements and three loops (D, anti-codon, and T loops). Further hydrogen bonds mediate the characteristic L-shaped molecular structure. tRNAs have two regions of fundamental functional importance: the anti-codon, which is responsible for specific mRNA codon recognition, and the 3' end, to which the tRNAs corresponding amino acid is attached (by aminoacyl-tRNA synthetases). tRNAs cope with the degeneracy of the genetic code in two manners: having more than one tRNA (with a specific anti-codon) for a particular amino acid; and 'wobble' base-pairing, i.e. permitting non-standard base-pairing at the 3rd anti-codon position. Lineage: Eukaryota; Fungi; Ascomycota; Dipodascomycetes; Dipodascales. The record is from RNAcentral.